CCUACGGGACGCACCAGUGGGGAAUAUUGCACAAUGGGCGCAAGCCUGAUGCAGCCAUGCCGCGUGUAUGAAGAAGGCCUUCGGGUUGUAAAGUACUUUCAGCGGGGGGGAAGGUGUUGUGGUUAAUAACCACAGCAAUUGACGUUACCCGCAGAAGAAGCAACGGCUAACUCCGUGCCAGCAGCCGCGGUAAUACGGAGGGUGCAAGCGUUAAUCGGAAUUACUGGGCGUAAAGCGCACGCAGGCGGUCUGUCAAGUCGGAUGUGAAAUCCCCGGGCUCAACCUCGGAACUGCAUUCGAAACUGGCAGACUAGAGUCUUGUAGAGGGGGGUAGAAUUCCAGGUGUAGCGGUGAAAUGCGUAGAGAUCUGGAGGAAUACCGGUGGCGAAGGCGGCCCCCUGGACAAAGACUGACGCUCAGGUGCGAAAGCGUGGGGAGCAAACAGGAUUAGAUACCCGCGUAGUC
This 465-nucleotide ribosomal RNA is filed under the name uncultured bacterium. Its description in RNAcentral is "bacterial SSU rRNA". It matches the Rfam family "Bacterial small subunit ribosomal RNA", at positions 338 to 795 of the family's 1533-position model. The record is from RNAcentral.